Molecule: ribosomal RNA, 442 nt
Filed under: uncultured bacterium
Lineage: Bacteria
Description: partial 16S ribosomal RNA
Rfam family: Bacterial small subunit ribosomal RNA
Source: RNAcentral
CCUACGGGAGGCAGCAGUGGGGAAUAUUGGGCAAUGGGCACAAGCCUGACCCAGCAACGCCGCGUGAAGGAAGAAGGCUUUCGGGUUGUAAACUUCUUUUAAGAGGGAAGAGCAGAAGACGGUACCUCUUGAAUAAGCCACGGCUAACUACGUGCCAGCAGCCGCGGUAAUACGUAGGUGGCAAGCGUUGUCCGGAUUUACUGGGGGUAAAGGGCGUGCAGCCGGGAAGACAAGUCAGAUGUGAAAUCCCGCGGCUCAACCGCGGAACUGCAUUUGAAACUGUUUUUCUUGAGUACCGGAGAGGUUAUCGGAAUUCCUUGUGUAGCGGUGAAAUGCGUAGAUAUAAGGAAGAACACCAGUGGGGAAGGCGGAUGACUGGACGGCAACUGACGGUGAGGCGCGAAAGCGUGGGGAGCAAACAGGAUUAGAUACCCCUGUAGUC